GACGAACGCUGGCGGCACGCGUAACACAUGCAAGUCGAACGAGGUCCAUCCACUCGCAAGAGUGGUGAAGACCUAGUGGCGAACGGGUGAGUAACACGUGAGAAACCUGCCCCGAAGACCGGGAUAACUCACCGAAAGGUGAGCUAAUACCGGAUGCCUUCACGACGUCUCAUGGCGAUGUGAAGAAAUGGAUUCCGCUUCGGGAGGGUCUCGCGGCCUAUCAGCUUGUUGGUGAGGUAACGGCUCACCAAGGCGACGACGGGUAGCUGUUCUGAGAGGAAGAUCAGCCACACUGGGACUGAGACACGGCCCAGACUCCUACGGGAGGCAGCAGUGGGGAAUCUUGCGCAAUGGGCGAAAGCCUGACGCAGCGAUGCCGCGUGCGGGAAGACGGCCUUCGGGUUGUAAACCGCUUUCAGCAGGGACGAAAUUGACGGUACCUGCAGAAGAAGCUCCGGCCAACUACGUGCCAGCAGCCGCGGUAAGACGUAGGGGGCGAGCGUUGUCCGGAAUUAUUGGGCGUAAAGGGCUCCUAGGCGGUUCAGUAAGUCGACUGUGAAAAUCCAAGGCUCAACCUUGGGACGCCAGUCGAUACUGCUGUGACUCGAGUUCGGUAGAGGAGUGUGGAAUUCCUGGUGUAGCGGUGAAAUGCGCAGAUAUCAGGAGGAACACCAACGGCGAAGGCAGCACUCUGGGCCGAUACUGACGCUGAAGAGCGAAAGCGUGGGGAGCAAACAGG
Molecule: ribosomal RNA, 739 nt
Filed under: uncultured Actinomycetes bacterium
Lineage: Bacteria; Bacillati; Actinomycetota; Actinomycetes
Description: bacterial SSU rRNA
Rfam family: Bacterial small subunit ribosomal RNA
Source: RNAcentral